Molecule: non-coding RNA, 4417 nt
Organism: Podarcis lilfordi (Lilford's wall lizard)
Lineage: Eukaryota; Metazoa; Chordata; Lepidosauria; Squamata; Lacertidae
Source: the annotation of a GenBank genome assembly
GUGGCUUAGUGGCUAGAGUACAGGACUAGGACCUGAGAGACAGGGUUCAUAUCCCUCACUUAGCCAUUGUUAUAACAAGGCAAAACAAGCUGCUCCUUUUGGACUAUUUUGUUGCUGGGUAGUUUGGCCCAUUUGUGAUAUUGCUCCCAAAAAAAACUUUGGGUUUCUUGAGGAGGUGCUUCCCUCUAAAGGGCAAGCAGGGGUACCUGGACAGGCGGUGGGCUGCCUCGAGUUUGUUAUCUCAUUGGAAACAUUUAUGUCUGGCCUAGCAGGUGAUCCUAGGGCUUGGCCCGCUUGGCCCUAGAAUUUGAUGGCCUCUGGCAGCGUUUCUGGCCUGAAUAGCGUCCCCAUGUGGUGCACAAAGCAUUGGUUUCACCUGUUCCUCACAUUGUUUAGGUUUUUUCUUUUUGCAGACUAUGACAGGGCCUUUGCAGAUGCCUCCAGAGCUUGCCUCUCCUGCAGAGGAUGACUUGUUGAUGCCCCAGGUGCCUUCUUCGGGAAGGAAGUGUCUUCAGAGGCAGGAAAAAGCGGAGCAGGGAUGAUGCUUACACCUCCUUGCAGGUAAAUCAUCACUGGGCUCUGAUGAUGAUUCAGACAUCACCUCCAGGGGUCAGGGUGAGGCUGUUCCAGGUCUUUAGGGAUCAUCCUGGAUAGCUCAGCUGAUCAGCGUAUGGUGCCGGUAAUGCCUAGGUUGCAGGAUUGGUCCCUGUAUGGGACAGCUGCAUGCUCCCUCAUCACUUUACCCGGACACUGAGGUCCAGCGCCGAGGGCCUUUCUGGUGGUUCCCUCACUGUGAGAAGCCAAGUUACAGGGAACCAGGUGGAGGGCCUUCUCAGAAGUGGCACCUGCCCUGUGGUACACCCUCCCACCAGAUGUCUACUACGAGACUUUUAGAAGACAUCUAAGGCAGCCCUGUUUAGGGAAGCUUUUAAUGUUUGAUGCAUUACUGUAUUUUAAUAUUUUGUUGGAAGCUGCCCAGAGUGGCUGGGGAAGCCCAGCCAGAUGGGCGGGGUACAAAUAGAUUAUUAUUAUUAUUAUUAUUAUUAUGAUUAUGAUUAUGAUUAUGAUUAUGAUUAUGAUUAUGAUGAUUAUUAUUAUUAUUAUGAUAUUGUGGGAGAGUGGACUAGAUGAUCCUAGGCGUCCCUUCCAACCCCACUAUUCUAUAAGUGGUAAUUCACUAUGAUGGGAAUGUUAGACACAGGGCUGCCAUCAACCCCUUAGCUCGCUAGGAUCGCAGGGAUGGGGACAUGUGGACCACUUGCGCAGCUCCACAUUUCAAAUGGAAAUUCCCUGAGCAAUAGAACCUGAAGCUGGUAUGCAGGAAGCUGGCCCGGUGGCAGCUUUGUUGGGACUUCUUUAGGGUUUCUGGCCAGUGUUGGCCCUGUAAAUUUACACAUCAUGGUGGCAACACAAGGCAAGGCUUCUUGCCCAAGCGGGGGCUGGCAAGCAAUAACUCAAUACCUCUCACCCAUAUUUCCAUAAAAAUAUCUCCCUUUAAAGCCUGGCUAAAAGGUUAUCUAGAUGGGUCAGUAGCUUUGUGCUUGUGGGAAGGGUUUUUCCCAAGGUUUCGGGAUUCCUCUGGCUUUUCAGCCAGUGGCUCAGAAUACAGCAACUCAAAAGCCAGUUAGAGAGCUACCUGUGGUAGCCAGAAAGAAGGUUAGGAAGCAGCUUGCAUUGGGACGUAUGGUGGGAUCCCCUUGAUUCUCCUUCUAGUCCCGAUUUUCAUUUAUCCCCAUUGGGGAUCGUCCCUAAGAAAGCCCCGUAUAAUUCCAUCUGAUCCAUAUUUAUCGCACCCCAAAGGCACCUCAGUGAAUGAUGCUUUCCCUCCGGAAUUGUUCCAUGAAAUAUGCAUCUUUGGAUCAGGCAGUUGAGCUUACCAACAAAUUGGAGGAGGUGCCUUGUUGGCAUUAUGCGAUAUUGAAUCGGCUGUUAGGCUGCUGCCGGUUCACCCUCAAGAUUUUAAGUAGUUAGGCUUUAACUGGAUGGUCCUUAUAUUGAUAAGGCGAUGCCAGUUGGUUGCUCAAUAAGCUGUGCAGCACUUGAGUCCUUUAGCGCCUUUCUGGAUUGAACAUUGCGAGUCAAGACUCGUUUAACUGUGGGUAUCGUUAUGUGGAUUAUUUUACUGGCUGGUUCAUGUGACACCAGCCUCUGCUUAGCUUACUAGAUGCCCCUUUAUUCCCUGAGGAGCUGGGUGUUCUGUUGACAGUGGAGGACAGUGGCUCCUACUGCCCCUUUUAACGUAUUUGGGGGCUAGCUGGAUACCGUUGCUUAAACAUCUGCUUGCCUGUGGAAAAGCUGUUUGCCUUGAAGGAUGUUAUUCUUGUAAUGCUUCCUCUGAAGCAAGUGUUGCUUUGUCAGAUCCUAUCAUUCCUAGGUCAGUUAAAUUUUGCAUGCAGGGUGGUUGCUCCAGGCUGCCCCUUCCAUUCCUGCUUGGCCAGGUGGUCUCAUGGCCCGGGGUCCCUUCAUCAUCAUGUACAGUGGCCUUGAGCCUGGAAGGGCAAGGCAAUCACAUUUAACCCAACUUUUCUCGAGUUUUCCCCAUUGUAGUGUCAGCGCACAUCUGGACUGAGGAGUUUAGGGACCGUCAGGUCUGUCUUAGUCUGAUAACCAGGCAGUGUGAGAGUCCUGGCAAAACGGUCUUCAUGCUCUGGCAGAGUCUUCGCACUGCUUAAGGUUUAAUAUUGCGUUUCUGCUCGCUUUAUUUCGGGAUCAUCUAAUGUUUUUGCUGUCGCUCUAUCCCUUUUUUUCAGUUGGAGAGCUUCAGAUCCUGGGCUCUGGACACCCAGCUAUAGCCGGAUUUUUCUGGAGCUCCUGUGGCACUUGGCAACAAUUAAUAAUUAUGAGGAAUAGUAGCUUACGUUUCCCCAUCCGCUUUCAGGUCUUAUGAGAAGGCCUGGACUGAUUUCUUAAAAUUUAGCUGGUAGUCCUCGGCCAUUCAGAGGAACCUGCCCCCAUCCUCUGAGCAGGACCUGCAGUAAUUCGCCCACCUGCUGCAGAUCGGAUGCAGUGUUAAAACUAUCAGAAUUCAGUCGGCUGCAAUGUCUGCUAGAGUAAAGCUUUAAUUUUUCAGAGACCCUUCUAAAAGUGUGUCAUGCGCAGGGUCUCAGAAGGCUGGAAUAGGCUCUGACCUUCACAGGACAGCAGGCAGGAAGCCGGUCAAUCUUUGACCUAUGCAGUAUCCGCAACAAGUUAAGACUUGUUGGCUGGUUCAAGAUCAAGACGAGACUUAUUUCAGUAUUCCAUUGUAAUUUUGGUGUACUGAGGGUUGGGGAAAUGGUGUUGGAGCCAGCACGGGGCUGAGAGUUUGGAGGCUUAUUGCCUCAGGACUUUUCCUUAUCUGCUUUGGAGCUUGUCAUAAGUGUCUGGAGCUCUAAGUCAGACCUAGUGAGCAGGGUUGCCACCAUCAGGCUUCCAGUCACAGGUGAGGUGGGCCCUUGCCCUGUUAUUGGAUACCGGAAAUAUUUGGCUUUUCGUUCCCCUGGGGGCUGGCUCGAUCCUAGUGCACAGAAAUGGGUUCCGGUUCGACAGGCAUCUAAUUGCUCACGUCGUGCGCCAGUUAUUGCAGCCUGCGGCUUGCCUACCGCUGAACACACCUCAUUCCUUCCAAAUAGGUGCUGCUGCAAAGGCUGCACACUGGGGCCUGUUAGUAGACAGGAUUGUGAAUACGGAUCAUUGGAAGUCUGACGCUGACAAAGGUUAUGUCAGGAAGCAUCGCCAAUGAUGCCUGUGCUGAUGCCUGUCUGUUAUUCCUUUUUUCAUAGGAGCAGCUGUGCGCAUUUGGAUUGUCGGCCACAGCAUCAUGCACUGAGCUGGCAAGCACCCUGACGAGUCUGGACUGGGGGCGCCAUCUCGGCCUUCCUGCCCAUGUUUCUAGCUCCAGUUCGCAUCUGGAUUGUGGGGCACAGCAUCGUUUACUGGGCUGGCAUCAGAGCUAGGCAGUCUGGAAGGGGACUGGGUCUUGGCCUCCCACAGCAUGUGCAGGUGUUGUGGAUGUCCAGGCACAGAAUGCAGUGGAGCGAAUUCAUCCCGCUAAUUAAGCAGAGGGUGCUUUCGGAUGGCCCCCCCAUGGCAAUUGUGGUUCAGCUGGGGGAGAACUAUGUGGCAACUUAUGAUUGCUUUACUUUGCGCUCCACGAUUCAGAGAGACUUGGGGAAAUUGGUGACCUUAAUACCCACAGUUAAAAUAUUUUGGUCACAAUUGCUGCAAAGGCGCAAUUGGCACGGCAUUUCUCGACCUGAGGCUGCUGAAAGGGCCAGGAAGCGCAUUAAUUCCGCAGUGUGUAAGAAGGUGGCGGAUUUGGGUGGAUUGGUUAUUUCCCGCCCGGAUAUUACCUUCAAGGCUCUGGCCCUUUACCGCAAUGAUGGAGUACAUCUCUCUGUACUGGGGAAUGAUGUUUGGUUGGAUGCGGUAACUGCAA